UGUGCCAGUGACACCCUUUGUUGAAAUGUUUGUAUCAUGUGGUUUUGAACUAUUACCUGGAGUGGAUGCAUUAUUGAUGUAAGUAACGCCUUAUUUCUAUAUUAUCUUUAUCAGUGUUAUGCUACAUUGUUUAUUUAGAUAUUUAAUAUCUCCCUUUUUGUCCCUUUUUGUUUGAUAGUACAAAUCAUCCACAUCCGAACUCAGUCCUUUUGUCUGCACUGAGCUGAUCCUUUCUGUUGAUGAUAAACCUUCGAAACCUGCCCUGGACCCGACGUGUUUGACUUCACACCACACAUUGUUCAGUGAACUAGCAUCAGGAGGAGACAGACUUUUUACAGUUGGGCUAUCAAGUAAUAGUAAGUGAAGCCAAAAUACCACUUCCAUUGGUGGAGCCAAGGCAUGCACAGAAGUGACCUGGCUGGUUAAGCCGUGUUACUGAUGCCACCUAUCAAUAAAACUCCUAAAAGCCAAAGGUGAGUACAGUCCACAACAGAACAGAUUCGUGUGUUGAUUUGAAGCAGAAAGUCACGACUGUGGAAUGUUCAAGGACUCUUGUGUUAGUGCUCAUUACGUUUUCUCUCAAUGCUCCUCCUGUACUCUCCUGAUCUGGUACAAUAUUCUACAGGAGCAUUUGUCAACAGAGCUGUCAAUCAAUCAUCAGAAAAAAAUGAAUAGAAGGUCGCAGCUGGAUGUCUUUUUUCUACAGACCUUCUUACGUUAUGCUGUGUUCAAAACUAUAGGUUCCCAAACUUUUCAGGCCCCCAAAACAUAUAGUUGCCAAAGACUCACGGCCCCCACAUUCCCUUGAAGUAAUUAAAUGUUACCAGCAGGAGGUGCUCUCAGACCUUUGCAGUGAGUUGAAGACACUAGUUUGCAGCAUUGCCUCUAAAUAUCUGCAGAUUAAAAAAAUCAACCCCUGCAAACAUGAUGUUUUUUGAGAUGACUAGAUUAAUCAACAGAGCAAGGUGCAGCUGUAUUCAUAAGGUGAAUGCAUUCAGCCUUUUAUCUAAUUUAAAGUACAAUGAUAUGCUCUUCUCUGCUGAAGGAGGAGCAACGACUUCAGUCUGAGGUUUUGCUGGGUCGACUUUGAAAGAUGAGAUGACGAGUCUCCGCUUUGCCUCAGAUCCAACACACCACCAGAUGCUGCUCAGAUGACACCCCGGACUCUCUAUCUUGUUCUGGAGCAUACAUACAGGGUCUGAUGAAACAAAUCCAAAUUCAACAUCAUCCUUUGGCUCCAGAAGUCUCUCACACGAUGUACAUUAUUGAUUCCACUUGUGCUCAUACAUGAUGUUUAGCUUAAGAGAUUCGUGGCUUUCGAAGAUGUCCAAUCACAACAAACACAGCUCAGAACUGGACCGUCAAUCCUCUUAGUCACUCUCCUCAAGGCCAACCGAGCGCUCGAAAACCUCUGUGAGGGUUUUACACUCUCCAGAUGGAAGAGUUUGAUUCCAAAGUCUGGUUGUGACCCCAAUUUCUCAAUCUCUCUUUACAAGAUCUGGUGCUUUCCUCUCUGACACUUGUUCCAGUCAACAUGUAGACCCCCUGUUUUCCAAUAAGCACUGUUCCCUCUC
Molecule: long non-coding RNA, 1574 nt
Organism: Notolabrus celidotus (New Zealand spotty)
Lineage: Eukaryota; Metazoa; Chordata; Actinopteri; Labriformes; Labridae
Exons: 3
Source: RefSeq, a predicted model, not a curated record